AACGCACGAGACCUGCGGACCUGCGGAAGGAUCAUUAAUGAGAAGCUGCCCCUCGUGGGUAGACCUCCCACCCUCUGUGAACUUACCUUUGUUGCUUUGGCAGGCCCGUCCUCUGGGCCGCCGGCUUCGGCUGGCCCGUGCCUGCCAGAGGAUUCCAAACCCUGUCUGUCAGUGUUGUCUGAGUCUAUAUGAAAUCGUUAAAACUUUUAACAAUGGAUCUCUAGAUCGGAAGAGCACACG
RNAcentral lists this unclassified non-coding RNA (240 nucleotides) under soil metagenome. RNAcentral describes it as "partial contains 5.8S ribosomal RNA, internal transcribed spacer 2, and large subunit ribosomal RNA". The record is from RNAcentral.